CCCGAAAAUGGACGCCUUAUAUUAUUUAAAAGAUAGAAUAGGACCUUUCAACUCAAUAAGACCAUUCAAAUGUUGAGAAAAUUACAGGCAACCUCACUUCACACAUUCAUUACACUAGAAACAACCAAAAUUAAGAUGUAAAUAAAUUAUUGAAUGGUGUGGCUGUUGGAUUCCACACCAAAUCCAUGCCCCACUCCAAACCCCCAAGACCCAACAACUUCCAUCCUCUGAACCACCCCCAACAUUCCUAGAGAAGGAUUACACAGAGAGAGAAUAAAAAUUAGAGAUCAUUUCCAUGGCUUUCCAAGCAUUUACAAAGUUGCACCUCUUUUUUUCUUGUGCUUACAAAUUCUGGUUUUGCUGCCUAUGGUGCAAAUAAUGGCUCAUCAUACUUGCUUUGCAUAUGCAGCACCAAAACUGCAUCAUGUUCCAAUCCUCAUUCAUGUUUCUAUUGACUCAAGUACACCUUUUAGCUUCACUGUUAACCUUGGUUGCCCAAGGAGAGGGAGAGAGAAAGACAGAUGCUACCAAAAAUCUAAACAAAAUUCUAUUUUAAGAAAAAGCAUGAGACAUUCUGCAUUAACAUUUGCUUCUGAAAAUGGAAGACGAAUAAAUGAAAACUCCAACAUUACAAAUCAAAUCUGGCUGACAACAGAAAGACGAAUUAAAAAAAAAUGUAACUCGAGACACUUGAUGGGCAAAAAGACGAAGAUGGAAAUAUGUGGAAUGUGCCAGCACCACUACAAUGAAACAUUCAUAACACAUCAAUACAUCCUGAAAAAGGAAAAACUCCAUCCAUAAUCUUUCUUCCCAUGACAAAAGCUCAACAUCAAAUUUGUGGUCUGAACUAUAUCCUAUAAGAUGAACUAAUCCAGAGUAAAACUUUCAAUCUGGAAUUUUCACUUUCUAAGUAAUCUGCAAAUCCAAAAUGUUCAUCACAACCAAUAUUGUAGGCAAUGUGCAAAGCCACACACGAAUACUUGUAGGAAGAAAAAGUACAGGGAAAAUUACUAUUUAAUGAUUGUAUUUUAGCGAAAUUAAUUACUUAGUCCCUAUAUUUUGAAAAAUACAUUAUUUAGUGCCUGUAUUUUACUUCCGUUAAACUCUUUAGUUCCUCUGUCAAAUUUUUUGUUAGUCAAUGUCAGUAAACUACUAUUUAGUCCAUCUAUUUUAAGAAAAUUAAUUAGUUGAUCCCUACAUUUUGAAAAACAUUACUAUUUAGCCCCUUUAUUUCAGUGAAAUUAAUUAGUUGAUUCUUAUAUUUUGAAAAACAUAAUAUUUUGAAAAAUAUAUUCUUGAAUAAAAAUGAAAAUUGCUAUGUGGAAACUAAAUCUAAAUUUAUAUUUUUUAAAUUGUUCAAAUAUUUUUAUUCAAUUUCUUGGAUAUCAUUUUUGUGUUUUCCUAAUGGGAAACAAUUUUCCUUAAUUAGUUAGAGAACUAGGAAAACUUAUUAAUAUUUUCACACAGACAACUUGUACUAUUUCUUAUCAAAAGAUAUAAAACAGAGAGAGAAUGAAGGGGAGAAAGAGUGAGCAAAGGAGAAGAAACACGAGAAAAAAUAAUAAGAAAGGGUAAGACAGAAAUAAGAGAGAAAAUUAUGAUAAUUUAGGUUUAAAAAAUAAUUAUGAGACUAAAUAGUUAGCGAAACUAAAUUACAGAGACUAACUAAUAUGUUUUUCAAAAUUACAGACUAUCUGAUUAGUUUCACUAAAAUAGAGUGACUAAAUAGUAGUAUGACUAACACUGACUAAGUGACUAACAAAAAAAUUAACGGAGGGACUAAACAGUUUAACAAAAGCAAAACAAAUGGACUAAAUAGUAUGUUUUUCAAAAUACAGAGAUCAAGUAGUUAAUUUCGUUAAAAUGCAGGAACUAAAUAGUAAUUUUCCCAAAAGUAUAUUUGUAAAAUCACAAUAACAUCAACUCACCAUAUCCAAGAAGACAGGAAUCUAUUUCUCCAGCUCCCACCCUCCCAAUCUCAUCCCAGGAUCAUAAUUUGUGAAUAGCCGAAACUCGUUCCCCAGCUUGCUGGAGUGUUGAGGCCUAAAACCACAUGGAUGCAAGCCUAAGAGCUCGGCAGCCCUAUCUUUCUGCACCUCCCCAGUGAGAAGAAGCAAGUGGGAUUUUCCAGGUGUUGCAAGAAAAGAAAUUGUUUCAGUAACCUUUUCCAAACACUCCUUACUCAGGUAAGGAGGAUCAGCAACUACAACUUGGAAAGCCUGCUUCAGCUCAGAAGGUAACUCUUCAGGUUCAUUGUAAUCAUAGAACGUGUAAUCACUUCCAUAUUGCCCAAAUCUUUUGUCAUAUUCCAACAAUUGCACAGAAACAUUCGGUUUAAUUUUCUUAAUAUAGGCAUAGAGAGUAGGGCAAGCGAUGCAAGCAACCCGAGAACUGGGAUUGGAGUUGUUGCCCAGUAAAGCAAUAACCUCCUUGGCAACGGUCUCUGCGGUUAAAGGGUCAUACCAGAAUUGGCUGAGCCUCCAAUCUUCGGAUACUAAGGUCACUUUACCGCCAGUUUCUUCAGCUCCGGUUUCUUCCCUGCGUUCAUCAACAUUUAACUGGUUCUGUUCUUCGAUGAACUCUCUAAGAGCCGCUAGAGCUUGAGAGCUCAGCAUAGGCAGGUCAUCAUCGUCGCCGUUCCCAUCCAAAACGCCAUCGUUUCUUGGUCUCACGAGCUUUUCUUCCAUCCUCCUGAUCCUGGAAGCCUGGAACUUCGCUGUCGCUGACGGUGAAAAGAGAAGGCGAGGAAAGUAUACCAGAGGCUGCGGAGCAGCGGAGGCAAUAUGGGCUGCGGCGUGUUAGGGAGACGUUUUAGUGUAGUGUUGGAC
This 2828-nucleotide unclassified non-coding RNA is filed under the name Hevea brasiliensis (rubber tree). The record is from RNAcentral. Lineage: Eukaryota; Viridiplantae; Streptophyta; Magnoliopsida; Malpighiales; Euphorbiaceae.